RNAcentral lists this unclassified non-coding RNA (281 nucleotides) under Bombus terrestris (buff-tailed bumblebee). Its description in RNAcentral is "misc RNA ENSBTSG00005035935.1". Lineage: Eukaryota; Metazoa; Arthropoda; Insecta; Hymenoptera; Apidae. The record is from RNAcentral.
CGCUUUGUCACAAAUAACUUAAGAGCAGAUGUUGCAAUCAUUGCCACCUGUUGAACAAAAACUUACCGGAAUGUAGCCGUCGGGUUGAGGUCUCUCGUUGUCCCUGAAGAAAAUUGCUUAAUUACAAUCAAGCAUCCACGAGUUUCGGAAUUCACGUUCGAUUAUCGACAUGAAACGUACCGAUGUCGUCGUUGUAUCACCGGUGUCUGCGGAGUGCUGUCGUGGAUGAUCACUUGGGUGGCGUCAAUCUCUUCGCAUUCUGAACUCUCUUCUGCCGAAUC